Molecule: ribosomal RNA, 371 nt
Filed under: uncultured organism
Description: partial 16S ribosomal RNA
Rfam family: Bacterial small subunit ribosomal RNA
Source: RNAcentral
GUAGGUGGCAAGCGUUGUCCGGAAUUAUUGGGCGUAAAGCGCGCGCAGGCGGUUCUUUAAGUCUGAUGUGAAAGCCCACAGCUCAACCGUGGAGGGUCAUUGGAAACUGGAGAACUUGAGUACAGAAGAGGAAAGCGGAAUUCCACGUGUAGCGGUGAAAUGCGUAGAGAUGUGGAGGAACACCAGUGGCGAAGGCGGCUUUCUGGUCUGUAACUGACGCUGAGGCGCGAAAGCGUGGGGAGCAAACAGGAUUAGAUACCCUGGUAGUCCACGCCGUAAACGAUGAGUGCUAAGUGUUAGGGGGUUUCCGCCCCUUAGUGCUGCAGCUAACGCAUUAAGCACUCCGCCUGGGGAGUACGGCCGCAAGGCUG